This 327-nucleotide ribosomal RNA is filed under the name uncultured eukaryote. Its description in RNAcentral is "partial 18S ribosomal RNA". It matches the Rfam family "Eukaryotic small subunit ribosomal RNA", at positions 1470 to 1796 of the family's 1831-position model. The record is from RNAcentral.
CCCUUCGAUGUUCUGGGCGGCACGCGCGCUACACUGAUGGGUGCAACGAGUUAUUCUUCCUUGACCGAGAGGUCUGGGUAAUCUUUUCAACGCCCAUCGUGCUGGGGAUAGGCCACUGUAAUAAGGGCCUUCAACGAGGAAUGCCUAGUAAACGCAAGUCAACAACUUGCAUUGAUUACGUCCCUGCCCCUUGUACACACCGCCCGUCGCUCCUACCGAUUGGAUGAUCCGGUGAAGAAUUUGGACUGAACGAACAAGGCGGUUUCGCUGCGAUCGAUCGGAAAGUCUUCUAAACCUUAUCAUCUAGAGGAAGGAGAAGUCGUAACA